Molecule: ribosomal RNA, 494 nt
Filed under: uncultured bacterium
Lineage: Bacteria
Description: partial 16S ribosomal RNA
Rfam family: Bacterial small subunit ribosomal RNA
Source: RNAcentral
GACGAACGCUGGCGGCGUGCUUAACACAUGCAAGUCGAACGGUGAAGCGCCUUCCUUUUUGGUGGGUGUGGAUGAGUGGCGAACGGGUGAGUAACACGUGAGUAACCUGCCCCCUUCUUCUGGAUAACCGCAUGAAAGUGUGGCUAAUACGGGAUAUUCUGGGUCUGUCGCAUGAUGGGUCUGGGAAAGAUAUUGUUUCGGUGGGGGAUGGGCUCGCGGCCUAUCAGCUUGUUGGUGGGGUGCUGGCCUACCAAGGCGGUGACGGGUAGCCGGCCGGGGAGGGUGGACGGUCACACUGGGACUGAGACGCGGCGCAGACUCCUGCGGGAGGCAGCAGGGGGGAAUAUUGCACAAUGGGCGCAAGCCUGAUGCAGCGACGCCGCGUGAGGGAUGGAGGCCUUCGGGUUGUGAACCUCUUUCGCCAGUGAAGCAGGCCUGCCUCGUUUGUGGGUGGGUUGACGGUAGCUGGAUAAGAAGCGCCGGCUAACUACGUG